RNAcentral lists this long non-coding RNA (285 nucleotides) under Vigna radiata. Its description in RNAcentral is "long non-coding RNA (VRAD_LNC004491)". The record is from RNAcentral. Lineage: Eukaryota; Viridiplantae; Streptophyta; Magnoliopsida; Fabales; Fabaceae.
UGAUUCAAAGUAUUUUUUGUGUUCUUUUUUAGAAAUAAGAGGGAUGUAAAGAGAGGAUUUGCUAGAUUAAUGUAAAGUUGACAUUCUGUUACAAAGAAGAUAUUUGAGUUUGUUUGCUUCUUUUUUUUUUUUCACGUACAACUAUUUUUGACACGCAUUGUUAUUUUUCACAUAUAAUAGAGAGAAACUUGAAGUAUACGAGAGAUUUCUAACUUCGAAGGUGAUAAUACAACUUUGAAUCAUUGACCAUACACAUGUGAGUCUUGAAUUUGUGCUUCAAUGCAC